RNAcentral lists this non-coding RNA (140 nucleotides) under unclassified sequences. RNAcentral describes it as "poplar-1 RNA". It matches the Rfam family "poplar-1 RNA". Rfam says of the family: metagenome only. The record is from Rfam by way of RNAcentral.
UUUGAGCCGAGGGGCACUUGUGGAAACUUCAGAUCGGCGUCGAUCGGAAACCGUAGCAAAAAGCCCGCACCACGUGAAGGACUGACUGAAGCGUGAUGAAUACUGAGCUCUAAUGCAAAGAGCAGUCAGGCAGUAGUAAG